Molecule: non-coding RNA, 136 nt
Organism: Pelobates cultripes (western spadefoot toad)
Lineage: Eukaryota; Metazoa; Chordata; Amphibia; Anura; Pelobatidae
Source: the annotation of a GenBank genome assembly
AUCUGUGUUUGUAUGUGCCAGUGUGUGUAUCUGUGUGUCAGUGUGUAUCUCUGUGUGUAUAUGUAUGUGACACACAGAUACACACACUGGUACAUAGUGGCACACAGAUACACACACUGACACAGAUACACACACC